This is a long non-coding RNA of Numida meleagris (helmeted guineafowl), 10177 nucleotides long. RefSeq lists it as uncharacterized. NCBI's taxonomy places the organism in Eukaryota, Metazoa, Chordata, Aves, Galliformes, Numididae. The transcript has 2 exons. The record is from RefSeq and is a predicted model, not a curated record.
GUUGGGAGGGGCGGAGGGGUGGGAUUUAUUAGCAGCAGCUAAAUUCGUCGGGAUUACUAUUAGGCCCAGAGCUUCUCAAUGGGCAUGAUCCCUGGGUGAACGGGCGUUUGGGAACAACAGCUUCCAGAGCCAGGCUGUAGUCUGUAGCCCGUGUCCUUCACCCUGAUAGCUCUGAGGCCGUGGGCUGUCGCCGUUCUUGCUGAUGCAACACAGCGAGGGCUGGGGUGAAGAAGAGUGCAUACCUACGUGUCAGAGGUAGGAGCUCCCCGUUGGCGAUAGUGGAAAGCACAGCAAAUUCAAAUCAAAGAUGAGGGGGGGUUGCUUUGAAUUGCUGUAUUCCAGACGUAUCUGAGGCAAUCUCGCUCUUCACUGCACAUAUCGCAGCAGCAAGAGCAAAGAUCACAGCGCAGCCCAGGUUUUCAUUUGAACAUGUCCAGGCUGGCACACAGUUGAGGUAAGGACAAUGUGCUUUUGUAGAUUUGAUUUGUGUCUGAAGUAGGGGCAGAACCAGGGAGAGAGUGAGAAGCCUGAAUAUCUGGUCUGCUACUGAAAAGUACAGGCCUAUGAAUAAGAUGGCGCAGCUCAUUUGGGUUAGCUGGAUGUACUACACAUUUUCUCCUAGAACUCUCUUCCCCAGCAUCUGUAACUUAUUCCUGUAAAAUGAAAAGUAGAAGGCAUAAAAUGUCUAGGUUUAAAGCAAUUGAAAGAGCUCUCACCCCCCUGCAGGAGAAAAUUUUUGAAUAUUUUCUAUUACUUGCUCAGCGUUGUUGAUGUGUUUGACUCUCUGUUACAUGCAAAGAUAAUUCCUCUACGAAGAACUCAGACAGCACUGCUAAGAAAGGCCAGUUGGUGCAUCUAUUUUAUCCCACCUCAUUCAGUGAAAGAUUAUUCCUUGUAUCUUAUCAGGAGGAAGCAGCCUUUCAAAAGCUGUACCUUGGUAAGUAUACAUGCUCCAUUUUGGCAAACAUUUGUUGUGGUUUUGAGAGGUUGUUCUCCCCUCCUCCCCCUGCUUGCUUUCAGCUCUUCUCCAGCUCAUCCAGCUACACUCAGCUGUGCUCAUUGCGUCACUUGUGCUGAAAGGGAGGCACUAAGAGGUGGAACUGUCAGGAUGGCAUCAACUGAGGAUCCAUGAACAUAGACUCGUGCUAACACGGACCUGCAACCUAUGAUAGAUUCAUGAGUCAGCAUCCUUGAUAGGUGCCUAGUGGCUUGUGGGACAGUUAAGAAUCGGGAAACGAUGCAGAAAUUCUCAUGCUUUUGUGCCCCUGUUUUUCCUCAUGCUACAAGAGACAACAGCAUUUCUUGAAAACUGCACUGCACAUGCUUAAGACAAAGAGCAGCUCCUUUUGGCUUUUUUGCAUGAUUAGCUGCAGCUCUCUGCCUAGAUCUUCCUUGUUCUGUCGAUAUGAUUUUCACAGCAGUGUGUUGUGCAUAUUUUGCAAGUUCCAGCUUGAAACUUCCUCCUAGCAGCAGGCUGUGUCAUUUAAAGGAACCCCACCCUGCUCUCCCUUGAAGAUGUGCAAUCCCAGGCUGUGUCUGAGCAUGCCUGGGGAGGCAGGUGCAGCCCGGCUGGAUCCUCAAGAUGACCUACAAAUAAACACUGCUUAAACAAAUUGGACUAACACGAACAUUCAAGAGUCAAGUAAUAAUCAAGACAGUUUCUGCUCUGUAGUCUUUACUUCAUGCUUCUCCCAUUCCCUCUCCCUCUGAUUUAUAACCCAGGAUAUAUGCCAUAGCCAUGUUGCUAUGGAAAUUAAUUACAACAUAACUUUAUAGAACUGGUUAGCAAUAACAUUAGAUAAUGAGUAGCACCUUUAUUGAAAGCGAACAUCAGAUUAAUGUUGCUUUUAAAAAAGCCCUUUUCCCACACCCCAGUGUUGCAAAUAAGGAGUUACAGGCAAUUAAAUAGUUUUUUUCUAAUAUUUUGGGUGGGGGGAAAUCUUUCAGCACGCAGCCUGCAAACACAUUUGUACAGCCAUUAAAUCUUUCCCCCAGCCCAGAACAGAUGACAAGUGCUUAAACCCAGUAAGAGUCCUUCAAACCAUUGAACCAAAUGACAAGACCAGAGCGAGGCCGUUGCUCCGAUUAAAGCAAGCCCUUUGUGCUCAUCUCAGUCCCACUCGGUGGGAACUGCAGCGUGUCACCUGCUCCACACAGUUUCCUCCUCAGAUGAGCUCUUUGUAGAGUCACCCGAUUCCUUUCCAGCACAGCGAGUCACCAUAUUAUUUGCUGCAAGCGUGGAAAGGAUCGGUCCUCGGCAGUGCAGACACAGUUACCCUUAGGAUCUUGUCUGGAUGAGCUCUACCAUUUGAUGGCACCUAUCUUGUGACCACACAAACCUCUCAGGGAUGUUCUGUUGCAGGAUUGUCACAUCUGCAGGCUGAUCCACAGCUUUCUUUUAUGUCUAAGAAUGGCUGGGCCUGGAGUAGCUAUUUCUACUAAGCUUCUUAAGCCUUUUUGGCUGUUGUUCCUUAAGGAAACCUGGCACCGGGCUUCUCUUGAUUUUUCAUUGAAGUAAAGGUAGAGUUCCUGUACAGUCGGAGAUCAUUUGGUCUCAGUUCAAGCUUUUACCCCUCAGUCUCCACUCAGGACUUUCUGUGGCCGCCUGAUCCAGAAAGCUGCUGUGUUGAACAGAGACCUCUGCCCGUGGCUCAAAUGGCACAUGACAGGGAUAUGCUCCAGUGAACAAUGCCUUCAUGUGCACAAGUUUGCGUGCCAGCUACAUAUUGCUAAAAUUUCUCUGCUCUCAGGAGGACCUUCUGCAAGCUGAUGCAGGGCUAGAGUGUUCUUCUAACAUUUUUUUUUUUGCAAGCUACGAAUCUUCCUUGCUUUUUGGAGCAGAAUGCUCCUAUCGGUCGCACAAAUUAAUUCCCCGCACCUCUGUUUCUUCCAUCAUUACUUGCAGAGGAGUGCCCAGAAUGGUGAUCAUUUUCAGCGCCAGCAUCAGACCCGGUGGAUGUCCCUCCAUCUCAUCUCUGAGAGCAGAGUUAGUGAUGUUCCCUGGUUGUUCGGUUGCAAUAAAUGAGCACAUUCCCCCUGAAGGCAGCUCAGCCCAGAUGCAAUGCCUGCACCUCUGGAGUCAGCUUCAGCACGGCCAGAACAAGAGCCAAACAGCUCCACGAUUUGUGCUGCAUACAUAGGCCCCUCUCAUUGGGGAAGUGCUCCGCACUGCCCGAUUCUCAUCAUCUGCAUUGGCAGCACUAGCAUCCAGACAUGCAGACAAACAUUUGAGGGUGAUUUUUUAGCUCCAUCAGCGCAGGGCUAAGCCUGCCCAAGCUGCCCUCUACCAGCCCAGCAACAGUCGCAGCCCACGUGUCAGCAAAUGCUGUAGGAAUCUCUUCUGCUGAGGUGCAGGCUGCAGUUCCUGGUGCUUUUGUUGACACUGCAGGAGGAGUGUCUGGUCUGCUGCUGUGUUUUUUUUCUGUAUUUUUUUUCAGCAGCAGACAAACAGCAUCUCCAUCUUUCCUCCUCACAGCAGAAGAAUCCAUUGAGAUAUAUCUGACUAUUGGUUUUGCCGUUAUCUUUUAUGCAGCUGCCCCAGUUUUCUCUUAGAAAUUCAGUCCAUUUGCCUGUCAAUGUGCUUCAUGGUGCACAAGCUUCUGGUUUACUUUCCCCAAGGAUUAUUCUGUUUCAGCAUUCCAAAUUAUUUGGGACAGCAGUUCAUCCUUCUUCGAGCACCUAGCUAGAGGGGGACGAGCUGAAGGGUCCUGUCUGCUACAGCAAGACAAACCGCACAAGCUCACCUAUUUCAUUUGCUGCCACUGCUAAGUCCUUUCUGUGAUUCCUCUGACUCCUUCCCUGCUGGGCCUGAUAAUCUCACAGAGCUGGUUUACUCCAUGUCCACAGGUCCUUAAAGGGGCAGGUUAGACUUAUCACUGUUUGCAAAUACAUCAAGGAAGAUUUGUAUAUGAUAUAUAAGUGUACAAUCUCCUACAAAAACACUUUUUUCCUGUUUGGGAAUUUGUGAGGUUAAACUGGAUACAUGUGAAGAACAAACUCUGAAAGGCUCUGAGCGCUCUCCAAAUAUAAUUGUUUAAGUGGAAGUGUGGUAGAUGUUAGGAUUAGCACAAAGUACGCUGUACCUGGGACAGAGGAACCACUGUGAUGUUUUACUUCCGCAGCUUGAAAUACCUAUCACUUACAGAUGUUCUUACAUUCUUGGCCCUUACGGCUUUCCAGUGCCUCUUAAAUUCCUGAGCUUACAGAGGUGGUGCUGACUAGCUACAGUAUUUCUUUUCCUAACAUAAACGAAGUUGUUGAGUGUGGCAAGGGAUACUUUCCGUCAGGAAAGAUCAAGAAAUGCAAAUGUUUCUCUUCUGGGAUGUGUGUCAAGGUGUUCCCGAGACCCUUAGCCUAAAAUAGAGGGUGAAGUAAGAACAAAUGCCAGAGGCAAAGGCAAGAAAGGAAAGGUAGGCAAGCUUAAUCCUUCAGCAGGCGGGCAGGAAAAAGCAAGUGAGACAUGCAGACUUUUCUGGUUUUAAAUGCUAGAGAGCUGCUCAGAAACUGCUGUGGUGAGGUCAUUUAUAAACCUGGGCGGGCAAAUAAGAGUCAAAUGGUUGCGCAGUUAUGAGCAGCAAAACUUUCCAGAGCAGCAAAGGCUGGAAAUAACAUAAAUAAGGUAGUUGGGCAAUAGGUCACGGGGUGAAGAGUCCCUCGUAACCUGUUCAUCCGUGAGUAAGAAAUAAUGAGAAGUUCUUAAGUGAGAGGCAGCAGAUAAUCAAAGGCAAGGUCGUCACAAGACUACAGCACUUUACAAAUAUCUCAGUGGUCUUUAUUGUUGUUUUCCUUAUCAGCCAAGGAUGUGCAAUUGUGGUAGGUAGUCUUUUUCAAAAUGCUUACAAUUUAAAAUAGCAAAGGAGAAAUAACAGAAGGAGAUGUAGAAAAGUUGGAAAGUGCUGUUUGAGCAUGAAAAAACAAAGCAGUAGGUCUUGACACAUGGCUGGUGAGAGGUGAAGGAGCCAGGGAGUAGCUGGCGAAAUUUAUGGUACAUGCAUUUCUCACAUUGAGGAAAUCACCUUCCUCAGUAUUUUGCCCAGUUUGAAAUGAAACGUGUCCAGAUAUUUGGAGGAAGCUCUGGCUGUCACUGGGUAGCUUACUGGAAACUACCUCCAUAAAGAUCAGCACUUUGGGUCAGAAAGGCCACUCCGGGGUGCAUAAGGAAUGGAAGCACCUUGAGCACAAUGUGGAGCUUUCUAACACCAUUACAGGUAGUAGAGAAGGUAUGCCCUCAUCCUGGUGAGCCCCUCUCAGAAAUGGUAAUGAUCCGAAUAAAGAGUUCUGGAGAUAAGCCCAUGAGAACAGUUAGAGAAGUGCAAAAAUGUCUCUGCACCACAGCAGAAGUGCAGUUAUUGUUUAUUUAUUCCACGGCUUAAGCAUUUUAGUAUGCAUUAGGCUUUGUAGGCAAAUGGGACAGGUCUGUGCCUGAGGAGUUUGCCUUCUGAGCAAGACAGAGCACAACAAAGGGAGGCACAGCGAGGAAGUGUGUUGGUACAUGUGUGAGCAGCGCGUCCAUGAGAGGCAGCAGCCACCGCCAGCAGAGGUCAGAGGCAAGGGUGUCACCAGGGCCUCCCCGUGGCUGUCACCUUCCCGUGAGCCAGGCCCUGCGGUGCUGCCGUGCAGAGAGAAGCUCUCCUUCCAUUACCUGCAGAGUGUGACGCGUCUGUUCACGGCUACGGUCCUGGAGGAGUAACCUCCAGCCUCUACAGACCGCGUUCCCAUCGGCUUCUUUUACUAUAGUAGCAGCUGCAUUUAGGAGCAAACUGUGUGCUUUUAUGCACAGAAAAGCAGCUGCGAUACACAAGCAGCAGCAGCAAAAAAUUAAAUGAAUAUUUGAAUUCAAAAGUGAAUUUGGGGGGCAUCUGUAUUGCAGUGCUUUAAUAUUCAUACACUCAGAGUGUGUAAAUUCAUUUGUGCGAAUUAAUUUUAAGCUGAAUUCUAAACAUAAAUAAAGGUGGAAUUGCACAUUUUAUUACAAAAUUCACAGUUAGCUACCAAACGUGGUACCAACCCAGUAUCAUCGGUGUGUGUGAUUAGCCAGGACCUCAGUACAACUGGAAAUGUUCAUCAGAUGGACUCCUCAUUCUGAGUGAUGAAAACCUUCAUAUUUCCUAAUCCAGUUGCAGAUAAUUUCAGAAGAAAAUAAUAUUAAUAGAAUAUGUUUUUGUUGCAUAUUACUUGCUCGAUUCAAGCAUUAUGUAUGCAAAUCAGGUAAUUUUGUACCUAAUUGCCUGAUUUGCAUGCAUAAAUGUAGGUUGCACAUGUGCAAAUGAUUUUAUUCAAAUUUAGUUUAUGCCUAAUAUGCAGAGUGGCUGGAAAUGUGAAUCUGUGUCUGUUGAUUUGAAGCACUUGUAAUUUUUGCUUAAUGAAAAAUCAGAAUUGGUCACUGGUUGUGGAGGUCAGCUGAAAUGCAGUGAGCUCCAGGGUAUGGCUUUGCAGGGGCAGUAAUCCUGGAGCUAUGCACCUUCCUCAAGAAAUUAGCAAUGAUGUGAAUGCCCAGAGAGAUAAGUAAAUAAGAAUGAUCGUCUUGCUUUAAAUGCCAGAAGAAAAUCACAGGAAAAUGUGGCACUUGUCAAGUGGAAAAAGACAAAAUCACUCAGAAAGAAAUGUGGGUUUCAAAGCCUAAGGUGGUUUAGCAGACAAUGAAACCUUAGAUGAAAAGUGUAAAAAUAUCGUACUAAAAUCUGAGUGCAUUAAAAAUUCAGAUAAUUCCAUGGCUAGGGAAGGAAUGGGACUGACAGUUCUUCUGAAUGAAGUUAUUCAACCUAGGCUAAGGACAUAAAAGCUUCUCUUGUUCCACCAUGUCACGUGCUUCACUUCUGAUCAGGAAGGGAUGGAAGAGAUGGAUCUGGAGGGUUAUUAGGAACACUUGGGCUGCAGGGCCCACUUCGAUAUGGGCCUCCCAUAUUGUACCCAGCACAGGGUCAGCAGUGCCAUUCUCAUAGGAAUGUGGAAGGACAGGACGCGUCCUUGAGGAAGGAACACAAAUCUCCCAACAGCACUUUUCACCAAGGUGUCAGCUGUAGGCUAAUAACAGUGGCAGGCAGUUUUCUCCCCGUUACUCAGAACUCCCCUGCAAAUGUUAUUUCCAUACAGAUGGGUGUAUCCCCCUAAAAUAAGCGUGUAGAGAAACUGGAAGCGAUUUGGAUGCAGCUAUGGACAUAUGGUUCCAAAUUCCCCUUUACACUGAUGUGAAGCGCAUGCAAGGUCAAGCCCCUUCCACACCCCAUUCACACUGGCAAGGCCCGUGGGUGAGGUGUGGGCGUAAGUCAGCAUUUGGCACAGAAUGCUCUCUGUCCACCUGAGAGCAGGUUGGUCACAGCUCUGCUGACACCGCUCUGGCAUCAGAUGGUCUCUAACCAACAUAGCUUCACUGGUAAGAAUUUCUAGCGUGGUUGUGUUUAUGAUGGCAAGCCAGUGCUUGUCUUGGAGUAGGUUAUUUCACUUGAGAAAGGGAGACAAGCUGGAGUAAAUGCUGCUCUCCAUGGGAAGAUGCAGCUUACAGCUGCAGGAGGGGAAGGUGAGGAGGGCCACAUGCCACCCCUGCGUGGAGCUGGUGGCAGCAGGGGCCACGGCUCUGUCGCUCUGCACCUGGGAGUCCGCCCUGCCACUUCGCUCUGCAAGCUCUGCUGCAUCCGCAGUGCUCUGCUGCUUACCUGCCCUGCAGCGUUGCUCCCCAGCGUGGAUUUGACUCUGAGCUCUUGUUUUGCUCCCAGGAGUACACAGCAGUUUUGAUAUAAAUGGGAAUUAAACUCACUUUGGUUUUUUUGCCUACUGUUCUAUUACUGGGAGAGAACACGACUUGACUAACACCAAGUCUUGCCUCUUUGUUUGCGUGCUAACCUCAUCAGAGCAGUACACGCCGAGCUCCGUGCAAAAUAAAUAAAGCCAAACCCCGGGCUCACUCCCAACUCGCUAUCUGAGUGUUUAGCUAAAGCACAACUUCUGUUACACUGGAGAGAUGCUGUGUUAUUUGACUAAGUACUGUUAUUUCUACUUAUUUUUUAUUCCAUCACAGAGUAAAGACACUUCCUAUUUUCCAAUUUUCCAGUAGGAGUGAAAAAUACUGCCUGAUAGCUGCAGAGAUUGAAGGUUUCUGAUUUUUCACGGAAUGUGUGUAGCUCGGGUAGUAUUAACUUCCUGCUCUACAGCUUCCCAUUCCUCCCUGGCUGAGCAUGCUGGAUUGAUUCCAUUCCUGAUCUCUUCUCAGAGCCCUUUGCUUCGGGUGUUCUCUGCAACUGGGGCAAUUACUGCCCAGCGCAGAGGGCAGCAGCACUGUGAGCAGAGCGGGAGCCCCAAGCCUGUCUCAGCGGCACAGAGCGGUGCGGACUGCAGUGCCCAUCAGCCCAGGCACUAGUAGGGUCUGGGGGACAGGGAGCAUCCGUGUGUCAUGUGUGGGGUGAUGGGCACUAUUGCUGUCCUCACAGCUACAGCUCUGGGAAGGGAUGGCACUGGGACUGCACCAGAGCCGGACACCCCUGCCGGAAUCCCAGAAGAGAAAAAGCAUUUGCAUUGUUUGUCUUCUUAUUGUCACUUUGGAGGUUACCUUCAUUUCUUGACACAGAUCCAUACUGUAUUUUUGCAGAGAGAUACAGUUUUCACCCGGUUGCCCUUUUUCCUCUUUUUGUAAUCCCUGGUUGGCAGUGAGAGUGGUCUGACAGAUCUGUGUGACUGAUAAGAGAAAUGAUUGCCUAAGCGAGAAUUGUUUCUUGAGUACAUCCCUCCCCUUGGGUUAAAUAUAGGUUGCAGCAUCCCAGCAUAAUGAAAAGAUCGGAAAGCAUUUACACACUGGUAUAGUUUAUGCCUUGUAAUAAUUGAGUAAAACAUUCACGAUUGUGAAAAUCAUACCUGUAAAGACAAGCUUAGUCACUUUCCGGUUAACGAGUCUGUAUUUUCGGUCAGCUUCUCCCUUACUGUAUUCAGCACAUGCACUAAAACAUAUCCCAAAUAAACCCAAUCCUUCAGCAUUUGUGUUUUAUCGCCUUGUGAUUUGCUGCCGGCCGCAGCAUCCUAGUUUUUUAUCUUAGCGUGUGCACUGCAGUACUUGCAUAGUGUUGUGCUGCAGGAUUGCUCAGCGUGCUGGACCGGGGAUGUCCAAUCCUUUUGAUUAUAAAAAAUGAAAGCAAAUCUGGAGAGGUUUUACCACUGUGAAAAACUAGACCCGUGUUGUAGCGUUGUCACAAAGGGACACAAUUCAGAACACAAUCGACAGUUGCCAUAAAUCUUCACUUUGUAAUCUGAAAUCAUCUGUGAUGCUAGGAUGAAAAUCUUUAGGUUCAGAAAGCGGUUGAAAUUCGAGCUGUGAAAAUAAAGCCUGCGAAACAUUUCUAAUUCCAACAUAGUCUCCAUAUCUUUUCUACAUACGCACGUGUAUGCACACGCAUUCCCAACCUGGCAUAUAAGUUCAGGAGCUCACGCAUCUGCGAGCUCACACACACGUUCACAGGCUCCCUCACGCCGAACGUGUUCUGCAGGAUGGAUGGCACACGGGGUAUUUCUGAAGGCAGAACGAGAAGACUGCAAAUCGACACUUCCACCCACUAAUGAAAAAAAAGCCAAGAAAACCUCAGUAGAGAUUGAGUUUUAUAAUUAAUGCUGAACAAUUUUCAUUGACAAAGCAAAAAGAAGCAAGUGGAAGGCUGAUUUAAAUGUUGAAUGAUUAAUGCGUGGCGAGGCGGCUGAGGAAAGAGACAAAUUCAGGAGCAGCUAUGGAAAUUUAUGUAUGAGAGAGUCAGCACCAUAUUCUGAUCUCAGUUACACAGUUGUAAAUCUGUUAUCUUAAUGGAAGUAUUCAGCUUUUAUAUUUGCAUACCGUAAGUGAAAAUAGAAUUUAACCCAGAAUGUGUUCGCAAUUGUGUAUUUGUGGGACCGAGAAGGGAGAGAUGCGUAUGUUUGCCCGCGAUAAGCUGCAAAUGCACGAGAGUUUUUGUCUCUCUCAGUGAGGAACGGGGGGACCGGCGUGCAUGUGUGCGUGUGUACGUGCGUGCCAGCUGCGGGGCUGCCCGCCAGCGAGUGGGAGGGUGCGAACGUGUUUGUUCCUCGACUCCCCGGCCGACUGAAAAUGGCUCCUGGAAAUGCCGCUUUAGAUUAGAGAGCGACGGCUGGAGAGGUGGAGAUUUCAUUACCUUCCUCUUUGUGUGAUGUUUUGGACUCGGUAAUGUAAAAGCAGAGCUAUAAAUAA